This 345-nucleotide long non-coding RNA is filed under the name Bemisia tabaci. Its description in RNAcentral is "lncRNA ENSSSA1NGG006491". Lineage: Eukaryota; Metazoa; Arthropoda; Insecta; Hemiptera; Aleyrodidae. The record is from RNAcentral.
UGGGUCUGUUGCAACCUUUUGCGCGAAUUUCUAACGCAUAUUGUGAAGUUAGGGGUGAAAUUUAGACUUUACUGACUCAUGGUGAUUCUAAGGCCUUAAGAUGUUACCUUCUCAAUUUUUUUUUCAAGGAGUUGAACGUAGAACCCCGCACAUCACGAAACACACAAGUUAGGAUCCAGCACAGGCCAAAAUAUGGAUCUGAGGUCCGAUUCCGGCGAAAAAUGUGGAUUUCACGACAUCCAUCCUCAAACCCCCCGGAACAGCCCUCAUCAUAGUACUCUCCUUUAAGAAAAAAUAGGUGUUAAAAUGCAUAUAUGAUCUAUUCUGGUUUUUUUAACUUGAUAA